GAAAAGAGUGGAUUGGACACUAAAUAAUGGCCAGUCUGUUCCCUCGGAAGUUGUAAGUAGCCGGCCCGAUACUGUUAGCUCUCUGAGGAUUUCUUCUGAUGUUCAGUUUUCAAAUGAGAGAUUUGACGGAAAGCUGAAGAUGUGGGAAUUCUGGGAGCCAGUGCAGUGUGGACCUGCUGAGGACAACCGGGAUGUAAGCCAGAAUGGUCAGUCCUUCGGGCCACUAGCACAAGAGUUUGCCUUUCAACCAGCCAAACUUUCAGGAUCUCCUGGAGUUGCAAUGGAACCCUUGUUACCGGAUGACCCACCUCAAGAUUCCCUUUGAUACGGAAGUCACUCAAGAUAAUGCCUUUGCAGUGGAAGAUGUCAGCAAAGGUAUCUUUGUUAGGUUUCAGAGAUUUCUUUUCAAAAUAGUUAUUUUUGUUAUAUUUGAUUAUUGUAUGUGUGUGUGUAUGUGCAUAUCUAUGUGGGUGCCCACAUAGGCUAGCGGUAUCGGGUCUCCCUGGAGUUGGAGUUACAGGCAGAUAGAUGUAAGCUCCCUGACUGAGGUGCCUGUAAGCACCCAGGCUCAUUUACCAGGCCAAGGUCACCAGAUAGGGCCAGGAUGAAAGCCAGGCUUGGGUUGUCAGGGCUACAGUAAGACCAUGGCUGUGAUAGUUUUAUUGAGAGCAAUCAGACUUUCUAUCUCUUUAUCAGAAACAGAAGAUACUAGCAAUUGUCAGACUCGAUGCGGUUGCAGUUGCCAGGACACAGUGAAGUUUGCAGAUUAUACAGGGCACACAAGAUUAAUGCCGAAGACGGAUUGGCCUGUCGAGCUCCCGUGUUUCCUUGACUUCUGAGAACAUACAGAGAAACACAAAGUGGCCUAAUUGCUUCACUGCCUGAGGGAGUGGAUCGGUUUCUCGGGAACUAGAAGACACAUUGUGCCCCAGAAGCCGAGGAUUCUGACUGAAAAUACUUGCCUCUCAAGGCAGCUAGGCCAAGCUAACUCCAUGGUUCCUUGCAGGCACUGAGAACCAGUCAGGGCUCUGCAAGAGCAGUGUGUAUUCACAACUACUGAGCCAUCGCUAGAUAAUACUUCUGGUUUUGUUUUUUUUUGUUUUGUUUUGUUUUUUUUUGGGUUUCUCGAGACAGGGUUUCUCUGUGUAGCCCUGGCUGUACUGGAACUCACUGGCUUUUCUUUUUUUUAGAUUAAUUAAUAGUGAAAUAAAUGAAGCUGGCGGUACCUUGGGGCACAUUUUGGAAUUAUUUGUAAAAUUUAAGUUUAAAGACAAAAUGUAGUGCCAUUGCUUAAAGGUAGCAGGUGUUUCUUAUGUGCACAUUUGUUUUGUGUGGGAAUCGUAUGUACACGUCUUAUAAGCUGCCCUUUUGUUUUGGAGAUGAGGUCAUCUGUGUAGCCCUGUGUGACUUCAAAUUCAUGGCCAUACUCUUGCCUUCAUCUCUCCUGUGCCAGGCUGAUGUUCUUGGACCGCCAUGUCCUGUGGUGUGGGCUUACUUCUCUCUUUAGUCCUCAGGGAGUCCGUGCUGUCAUUCUUGCAUAUGGAGGGCAGCACUUAAAAUGCUCAGACUGACAUCUAUGGUCAUGAUGUUUAUUUUGAUAUUUGAGGAAUGCCUGCGCAGGAGAAUUAAUCACUAUUUUAUGUAUCUCAAUUAUUAUUUCUGGAAAAGGCUAGAAGAAUCUUGGUUAAAAAUGAAAAUCCCUUGACCUGUAAGUACCUCUCGCUGCAGAGCCCUCGAUAUGGUCAGGAGGAAAUGAGUGUUGGCAUUGCCUGGUUGUAAUAGCGCAGAUGUAUUGCAGUUGAAGAGUUGUUACUAUAGCAACCCUGUCUGUGUGACUGCAUGUUCAAUUCUUUUCUUCAGUCUCGCAUCUUUCUGUGACCUACAACAAAGCUUGGAUUGUUGCUCCCAAGAUUUAUUCCCCAUUUCAUUAGUUAGAAUGCAUUUCAGAGCAUUCUGACAACAGUGCAAGAGAGGACACACACACACACACACACACACACACACACACACUGGUGUGUGACCAGAGCUAGAAAUUAGGGAUGUAGUUUCCAUGUAAAUAUUGUAUAUUAACAGAUGCUCUAAGAAAAGAGGCAGCGUGGAUAGACACGGGGUCAUACACUUGACACAGAGCGUGACGUUAAAGUAAACACAUGUGUUGCGAUGCCAGUGCAUUCGUGUCUGCACUUGGUAAGAGCAGAACGCACAUGCGCUUGGCAUGUUUUCUAAAUGUUUUCCUCUUGCACCUGGUUCUGCUGGGAGAAGGAGCACCGCAUGCCGAGGAGGAGUUUAGAGGUCUGGAGAGACCGCUAGAAUGAGAUGAGUGUGCUAAGAGACUGUGAGCGCUUGUGAGGAAGGGAUGAAAGCUCUCAUUUUGUUCCCAGUGCAUGAGUGGCGUCAUCUCAGACCUUGCUCUCUGUGCCGAGGGAAAGCAGUGAGCCCUUUCCUGUGCCGCACACAGCAAUCUCUGUUAAGGUGUGUGUCCCUUCUCCCCUGUGAGGGGCCCUGCAGACACUGAGCUACCAUACAAGGAACAUGCAGCGAGCUUGACUUGACGUAGCUGUGGCCCAUCCGAGAGUCCCUUCUCUGUGGUGAUGGUGCGGAUUUGUGUCAAGGACAGGCUCUGCAAAUGCUUUCGGUUUUGACGUUGCUCUGACUGUUCUCCAUGGCACUGGCCUCACCAACAGCCUCGCUCCAGAUCUUCAUCUGAGCAUCUCACGAGGUCUGUGGCCAUGUGUAUUCACUACAGUCGUUCGGAGAAAGAGCCUUCGGUUUGGGUUGUCACGGCAUACUGACAAGUAGGUUUUAAAGGGCAAACAGAAAUAUAGGAAGAGGCAAUUACAAGGAGAACCUGCUGGGCUGUAGAAGUCCCCUGGUGGUUCCUGCCUUUUUCACAGUACUCAGCACUGGCUGCCAUGUGCUGACAGCCACAGGCCUCUGUAGAAGCUGAGGUAGGCCAAGGAUGUGCUCCUACACACCUGUCCUGGAGGCGCUACCUGCUGUGUGACCUGAAAGAAUUAAUCUCCUCACAGCCUCGGUUUUCUUAACUGUAAAAUAUAAGGAGAUAAUAUCACUUUAGUAACAGGUACUUGGACUAGUGCCUGAGAAAUCAUGGCUUUAGCACGGGUUUAUCUCAUCCUCCUACACCUCCGGGACCAAGGCCUCCAGCAGCACAAAACUGUGGCGUCCUGGAAGAGAGAAAGAUUGAGCCAGGAAACCUGCUUACAGAUUUGCAUCCAUUCCUUAUAACAUCUGUGCUACAAAGAGCCGCACCUCCGGAGCUAAGAAGAGAGUGGAGGUGAGAUGCGCGUACAGAACUGGGCAGAAUGGACUGAAGGAACAGCACAGGCCGGAAAUGCUGGGACGUGGCAUGACCAGGGCAGUAAAGGGGACCCAUCGUGUCUGGACAUGUCUGGGUGUGUGCUUGACGGCAGUGAAGAUCUCUGCUUCCUGUCCUGCUGCUGAGAAGUCCCUGGGAAAAGCCAGGAGCCCAGUGCUGACCCUCAGAGGCCCUCCCACCGCACUCCCACUGGACACCCACCCACACUGGCCUGGGUAAUCCCUCCAGUUGUUGCUCCUGUGUCAAUAAAAAGGAAAGAAAAGAACACUCGGCAAGCAGCAAGAGUGUGAACACAGCCACUGCCUGAUGCCAAGAGCUGUUGCAGCUUCAACUUGCGGAGGAAAGGGAGGCACUGACAGUCCUGUAAUAGCUCUGAGAUUGUGUUAGUAGCCCUUAUGCAAGCAUUGAUCUGUGGCCACAGCUCUAGGAUCUGAAGUCCCCGAAGGCUCUAAAAGCCAAGUAUUGUUCUGUUUAUUCUGUGUGUGUUUUUUUAAAUGGUGGUGAAAUAUACAAUAAAGCCAUUGCCUUAGCUA
Molecule: long non-coding RNA, 3870 nt
Filed under: Mus pahari (shrew mouse)
Lineage: Eukaryota; Metazoa; Chordata; Mammalia; Rodentia; Muridae
Description: lncRNA (MGP_PahariEiJ_G0005410.1)
Source: RNAcentral